Molecule: transfer RNA, 85 nt
Filed under: Felis catus (domestic cat)
Lineage: Eukaryota; Metazoa; Chordata; Mammalia; Carnivora; Felidae
Rfam family: tRNA
About the family: Transfer RNA (tRNA) molecules are approximately 80 nucleotides in length. Their secondary structure includes four short double-helical elements and three loops (D, anti-codon, and T loops).
Source: Rfam by way of RNAcentral
GCCUGGGUGGCUCAGUCGGUUGAGCAUCCGACUUCGGCUCAGGUCAUGAUCUCACAGUUUGUGAGUUCAAGCCCCACAUCGGGCU